CAGGAACAACGGUUGGGGCACAAACCCGGCAAUGCCCCGUCCGUCGGAGGGCCCCAGCGCAAGCUGGGGCCCUUACUUUUUG
This is a small RNA of Afipia broomeae ATCC 49717, 82 nucleotides long. It matches the Rfam family "Bradyrhizobiaceae sRNA BjrC68". Lineage: Bacteria; Pseudomonadati; Pseudomonadota; Alphaproteobacteria; Hyphomicrobiales; Nitrobacteraceae. The record is from Rfam.